GCUCCGGUAGCUCAAUCGGCAGAGCAGCAGGCUUAUACCCUGCAAGCACCAGAUUAGUGCGUGAUCCGAGUUCGAGUCUCGGCCGGAGCA
Molecule: transfer RNA, 90 nt
Filed under: Acidobacteriota bacterium
Lineage: Bacteria; Pseudomonadati; Acidobacteriota
Also listed under: 1 other name
Description: Acidobacteria bacterium tRNA-Ile
Rfam family: tRNA
About the family: Transfer RNA (tRNA) molecules are approximately 80 nucleotides in length.
Source: RNAcentral